Molecule: ribosomal RNA, 141 nt
Filed under: Streptomyces sp. SID7909
Lineage: Bacteria; Bacillati; Actinomycetota; Actinomycetes; Kitasatosporales; Streptomycetaceae
Description: partial 16S ribosomal RNA
Rfam family: Bacterial small subunit ribosomal RNA
Source: RNAcentral
CAUUCACGGAGAGUUUGAUCCUGGCUCAGGACGAACGCUGGCGGCGUGCUUAACACAUGCAAGUCGAACGAUGAAGCCCUUCGGGGUGGAUUAGUGGCGAACGGGUGAGUAACACGUGGGCAAUCUGCCCUUCACUCUGGG